UAGAAUUUUGACUCUUCAUUUUAUUUGAAAAUUUUUAUGAUUAAUAUUUUUAUUGUUACUGCAUGAUAAAACAUGAAUAGUAUUUUACGUGCAACUAAUUUUUUUCAAUUUUUUAAUAAAUUUUUUAAAUAAGACGGAUGGCGAAAACCCGGAAAUC
This 157-nucleotide microRNA precursor is filed under the name Oryza brachyantha (malo sina). RNAcentral's name for it is "MIR812 microRNA precursor family". It matches the Rfam family "MIR812 microRNA precursor family", at positions 27 to 189 of the family's 205-position model. Lineage: Eukaryota; Viridiplantae; Streptophyta; Magnoliopsida; Poales; Poaceae. The record is from Rfam by way of RNAcentral.